Molecule: long non-coding RNA, 765 nt
Filed under: Homo sapiens (human)
Lineage: Eukaryota; Metazoa; Chordata; Mammalia; Primates; Hominidae
Description: HSALNT0106974
Source: RNAcentral
CAGACAUGCUGGGGGGUUAUAAAACAUAUUGGCACAAAAAUCUGAAAAACAAUCUAGACAAAGACAAAAACAGUCCACAUGUGAUUUCUUCUAUUUUGGAAUGUGUAGAUCACUCACUUAACUUUCCCUGAGCUUCAUGAGCUCUGCCUUCCAGUUUAAGCCCUGGAAAUACAUAACGAAGCACAAAAGCCAGCUUUGCUUUAUGAGCUCCAUGGAAAAGACACACAAUAAAAUGGUCAUAUUUUAAUGUGAAAAAUGUUAAUGACAAGUAAAGCCAAGUGUGUCAAGGGGACAUAGUAAAGGGGCCUAAUGUGGCUUGGAGAGUCAGGGAGGGCUCGUGCUUUGUACAACGGCUUUGUAUCUAAACUCUCAUACAAAGGGUGAGAAGUUGGCCAGGCAAAGAUGGGGAAUUUGUGGAAGGGGUCAUGAAAGAUUUGAGGGCUGGAAGAAAUUUCACUCUGGCUAGGGCAUAGAGCGCGAACUAGGUUCUCAGACCCGAAGCCAGAGGAAUGAGUAGAAACUACAUCACGGGACCUUGGAAACCAACGUUAAGAAGCUGCCAAAGCACCUUGAGGAGAAAGACUUGAUUAGUAUUAUAUUGAAACAUGAAUUAUUUGGGAAAUGUCAAGGUGUCUGAAAAGUGGAAUGAGUUAAAAUUGAGGAAGGAAGCAUUCUAGGUGUGAUAUUACAUUUUUUACUUGAAAGUCAUUAAUCCAGGUAUCUCAGCAGCUGGAAUUUAACCCUCAGUGAAUAAACAAAAAGAAA